GCCAUGAUUUUCGGCAUACUCAGGAGGAGCGCAGGGUCCGUCGUUAGCGGCAACUCUAUCUGCAAUCUUCUUAUACCAUGCUGAUUUAUCGUUUUCUUGCAAUAAGGCAACUAUACAAACAGUCAUGUUGUCACAACCAAGGCCGGUAGUUUCGGUGUCACUGGCUAUGCAGUUAUCCAUUAAAUUUUCAGCAAUCUUCUCAAGAGAGGUUCCAGCAACUAUGCCACGUCUAACAAACUCGAUCACUUGCUGCGAAGUCUUGCAAUCCCAAAUACCAUCACAAGCGAGUACGACGAAUUCAUCAUCGUCAGUAAUCUCAUGUACAACAACAUCCGGUAAGGCAGUAACUAUUUGUUUUUCUGGUUCUAAAUUACUGUUUUUGAACUCAAAAUCACCGAUAGCUCUUGACAAAGCCAAAUUUCCAUUUACACGGCCAAAGUCUACAAAGCCACCAGCCGCACAAAUACGGGCUUUUUCGGCUUCAUUUGAAGGCUUAUGGUCUGCUGAUAGAGGUUUUGCAAUUCCCUUACUGCCAAGGACAGUUCUUGAGUCACCGGCAUUAGCCUACACAAUUAGUAAGACUAAACAACUUCCAAGACUUACACAAUAAAGUUUAUUUCCAACACGAAGAACAACAGUGGCCGUGCAACCUGAUGGAUCCGUAUGAAAUUGAUCAUCUGUCAAAAU
Molecule: non-coding RNA, 687 nt
Organism: Schizosaccharomyces pombe (fission yeast)
Lineage: Eukaryota; Fungi; Ascomycota; Schizosaccharomycetes; Schizosaccharomycetales; Schizosaccharomycetaceae
Source: the annotation of a GenBank genome assembly